Molecule: ribosomal RNA, 468 nt
Filed under: uncultured bacterium
Lineage: Bacteria
Description: partial 16S ribosomal RNA
Rfam family: Bacterial small subunit ribosomal RNA
Source: RNAcentral
GACGAACGCUGGCGGCGUGCUUAACACAUGCAAGUCGAACGGAAAGGCCCUGCUUUUUUGGGGUGCUCGAGUGGCGAACGGGUGAGUAACACGUGAGUAACCUGCCCUUGACUUUGGGAUAACUUCAGGAAACUGGGGCUACUACCGGAUAGGAGCUCCCGCUGCAUGGUGGGGGUUGGAACGUUGCGGCGGUUGGGGAUGGACGCGCGGCUUAUCAGCUUGUUGGUGGGGUAGUGGCUUACCAAGGCUUUGACGGGUAGCCGGCCUGAGAGGGUGACCAGCCACAUUGGGACUGAGAUACGGACCAGACUGCUACGGUAGGCAGCAGUGGGGAAUAUGACACAGUGGGCGGGAGCCUGAUGCAGCAGCGCCGCGUGCGGAAUGACGGCCUUCGGGUUGUAAACCGCUUUCGCCUGUGACGAAGCGUGAGUGACGGUAAUGAGUAAAGAAGCACCGGCUAACUACGUG